GCUGGCGGCACGCCUAACACAUGCAAGUCGAACGAAGUAGCAAUACUUAGUGGCAGACGGGUGAGUAACAUGUAGGUAUCUACCCUUUGGCCUGGAAUAACACGAGGAAACUUGUGCUAAUACCGGAUAAGUCUUUACGGAGAAAGCUUUAUGCACCAUUGGAUGAGCCUGCACUUGAUUAGUUUGUUGGUGGGGUAAUGGCCUACCAAGACUGUGAUCAAUAGCUGAUUUGAGAGGAUGAUCAGCCACAUUGGGACUGAGACACGGCCCAAACUCCUACGGGAGGCAGCAGUGGGGAAUCUUGCACAAUGGAGGAAACUCUGAUGCAGCGAUGCCGCGUGAGUGAAGAAGGCCCUUGGGUUGUAAAGCUCUUUCGUCGGGGAAGAAAAUGACUGUACCCGAAUAAGAAGGUCCGGCUAACUUCGUGCCAGCAGCCGCGGUAAUACGAAGGGACCUAGCGUAGUUCGGAAUUACUGGGCUUAAAGAGUUCGUAGGUGGUUGAAAAAGUUGGUGGUGAAAUCCCAGAGCUUAACUCUGGAACUGCCAUCAAAACUUUUCAGCUAGAGUUUGAUAGAGGAAAGCAGAAUUUCUAGUGUAGAGGUGAAAUUCGUAGAUAUUAGAAAGAAUACCAAUUGCGAAGGCAGCUUUCUGGAUCAUUACUGACACUGAGGAACGAAAGCAUGGGUAGCGAAGAGGAUUAGAUACCCUCGUAGUCCAUGCCGUAAACGAUGUGUGUUAGACGUUGGAAAUUUAUUUUCAGUGUCGCAGCGAAAGCGAUAAACACACCGCCUGGGGAGUACGAC
This 803-nucleotide ribosomal RNA is filed under the name uncultured Pelagibacteraceae bacterium. RNAcentral's name for it is "bacterial SSU rRNA". It matches the Rfam family "Bacterial small subunit ribosomal RNA", at positions 35 to 886 of the family's 1533-position model. Lineage: Bacteria; Pseudomonadati; Pseudomonadota; Alphaproteobacteria; Candidatus Pelagibacterales; Candidatus Pelagibacteraceae. The record is from RNAcentral.